CCUACGGGCGGCUGCAGUGGGGAAUAUUGGACAAUGGGGGCAACCCUGAUCCAGCCAUGCCGCGUGUGUGAAGAAGGCCCUCGGGUUGUAAAGCACUUUCAGUGAGGAAGAACGCCUGGUGGUUAAUACCCAUCAGGAAAGACAUCACUCACAGAAGAAGCACCGGCUAACUCCGUGCCAGCAGCCGCGGUAAUACGGAGGGUGCGAGCGUUAAUCGGAAUUACUGGGCGUAAAGCGCGCGUAGGUGGCUUGAUAAGCCGGUUGUGAAAGCCCCGGGCUCAACCUGGGAACGGCAUCCGGAACUGUCAAGCUAGAGUGCAGGAGAGGAAGGUAGAAUUCCCGGUGUAGCGGUGAAAUGCGUAGCGAUCGGGAGGAAUACCAGUGGCGAAGGCGGCCUUCUGGACUGACACUGACACUGAGGUGCGAAAGCGUGGGUAGCAAACAGGAUUAGAUACCCUAGUAGUC
Molecule: ribosomal RNA, 465 nt
Filed under: Vreelandella stevensii
Lineage: Bacteria; Pseudomonadati; Pseudomonadota; Gammaproteobacteria; Oceanospirillales; Halomonadaceae
Description: partial 16S ribosomal RNA
Rfam family: Bacterial small subunit ribosomal RNA
Source: RNAcentral